This 88-nucleotide transfer RNA is filed under the name Candidatus Korarchaeota archaeon NZ13-K. RNAcentral's name for it is "tRNA-Ser". It matches the Rfam family "tRNA". Rfam says of the family: Transfer RNA (tRNA) molecules are approximately 80 nucleotides in length. Their secondary structure includes four short double-helical elements and three loops (D, anti-codon, and T loops). Further hydrogen bonds mediate the characteristic L-shaped molecular structure. tRNAs have two regions of fundamental functional importance: the anti-codon, which is responsible for specific mRNA codon recognition, and the 3' end, to which the tRNAs corresponding amino acid is attached (by aminoacyl-tRNA synthetases). tRNAs cope with the degeneracy of the genetic code in two manners: having more than one tRNA (with a specific anti-codon) for a particular amino acid; and 'wobble' base-pairing, i.e. permitting non-standard base-pairing at the 3rd anti-codon position. The record is from RNAcentral. Lineage: Archaea; Thermoproteati; Thermoproteota.
GCCGGGGUGCCCUAGCUCGGUAGGGGGCUGGCCUGCUAAGCCAGUGGCCCAUUGGGCCGCGAGGGUUCAAAUCCCUCCCCCGGCGCCA